GUUUGUGAUGGCAGAGACAGUGCAAAGUUUGUGGUCUUUGAUACCGAGGUGUCUAAGCUCACCAAAAUGGAAGCAGCGACACUAGCUCUGGAGAGGAGAUUAAAGGCGUUGGAGGUCCAGAGCUACCUCGAUGCCUUGAAGAGCUAGCUUGGAAUCAAUACGUUUUUCACAUACGUGUACCUUCACCGGGUCUGCAAUCACUGAAGAUAGGCUUGACCCUCUGACCAAACCCGAGGCUGAAAAGGCUCCAGGGGGAGAUGUCCACACAGAACAAGCACUGUCAUCUGCUAGCGACACUGGUGGUCCUUCCGGCAAGGCAAAGGAAGUAGAUGACCCGAAUCUACCAAGCUUGGCUGAGAUAGAG
Long non-coding RNA from Raphanus sativus (radish), 364 nucleotides. RefSeq lists it as uncharacterized. The record is from RefSeq and is a predicted model, not a curated record. Lineage: Eukaryota; Viridiplantae; Streptophyta; Magnoliopsida; Brassicales; Brassicaceae. The transcript has 3 exons.